AGACCCGAAACCCGGUGAUCUAGCCAUGGGCAGGUUGAAGGUUGGGUAACACUAACUGGAGGACCGAACCGACUAAUGUUGAAAAAUUAGCGGAUGACCUGUGGCUGGGGGUGAAAGGCCAAUCAAACCGGGAGAUAGCUGGUUCUCCCCGAAAGCUAUUUAGGUAGCGCCUCGUGAAUUCAUCUCCGGGGGUAGAGCACUGUUUCGGCUAGGGGGCCAUCCCGGCUUACCAACCCGAUGCAAACUGCGAAUACCGGAGAAUGUUAUCACGGGAGACACACGGCGGGUGCUAACGUCCGUCGUGAAGAGGGAAACAACCCAGACCGCCAGCUAAGGUCCCAAAGUCAUGGUUAAGUGGGAAACGAUGUGGGAAGGCCCAGACAGCCAGGAUGUUGGCUUAGAAGCAGCCAUCAUUUAAAGAAAGCGUAAUAGCUCACUGGUCGAGUCGGCCUGCGCGGAAGAUGUAACGGGGCUAAACCAUGCACCGAAGCUGCGGCAGCGAACGUAUCACCCAAGACAACUUUACGGAGUUGGCGAUUGACGGAGCGAAGCGACGUCAAAGCGUUCAUUAAAGUCGAGUUGGCUUAGGGAUACGUUCGUUGGGUAGGGGAGCGUUCUGUAAGCCUGUGAAGGUGUGUCGUGAGGCAUGCUGGAGGUAUCAGAAGUGCGAAUGCUGACAUAAGUAACGAUAAAGCGGGUGAAAAGCCCGCUCGCCGGAAGACCAAGGGUUCCUGUCCAACGUUAAUCGGGGCAGGGUGAGUCGACCCCUAAGGCGAGGCCGAAAGGCGU
Molecule: ribosomal RNA, 789 nt
Filed under: Salmonella enterica subsp. enterica serovar 4,[5],12:i:-
Lineage: Bacteria; Pseudomonadati; Pseudomonadota; Gammaproteobacteria; Enterobacterales; Enterobacteriaceae
Description: partial 23S ribosomal RNA
Rfam family: Bacterial large subunit ribosomal RNA
Source: RNAcentral